GAAAUGCGAUAAGUAAUGUGAAUUGCAGAAUUCCGUGAAUCAUCGAAUCUUUGAACGCACAUUGCGCCCUCUGGCAUUCCGGGGGCAUGCCUGUCCGAGCGUCAUUACGCACCCUCAAGCCCGGCUUGUGUGAUGGGCCCUGGCGUCUCGUUCGCGAGACGGGCCCGCAAGGCAGCGGCGGCGUCGACCCGAUGAGCCCGAGCGUAUGGGGACUUUUGUCACACGUUUGCGGUGCGGACCGGCGCCUGCUUGACUUUUCUGAUUAUCCAGGUUGACCUCGGAUCAGGUAGGGAUACCCGCUGAACUUAAGC
Molecule: unclassified non-coding RNA, 311 nt
Filed under: plant metagenome
Description: partial contains 5.8S ribosomal RNA, internal transcribed spacer 2, and large subunit ribosomal RNA
Rfam family: 5.8S ribosomal RNA (bases 1-104)
Source: RNAcentral